UCUUCAUCCAGUAACAGACCUGGAGUCAUAUCAAGGGACACUGGUGGAGAAGUCAAGUCACAUUGGAACAGGCAGUUGAGCACCCAAAUGAGAGACUGAUUGCUUUGAACAAUGCUGCUGCCUUCCUCCCGGUGCUUGUUAUCAUUAUUUGAAAUCACAGAAAGGAGCUGAUUCACCAAACUGAAUCACUCACAUAAUGACCAAAGUUCUAGAAGCUUGUGCCCUGGGGCCCAGGGGCUGGACUCUUUCUGCUUUGGAUGUGAUAACUGUGCUGCCAGUUCAAAUGGUAAGGUUUGCAGGAACUCUUUAGUCUCUUCCUUUAAAUUAAAAAAUGAACUUUGCCAUUUUGUUCUUUGACAAAGAACAACCCCUUUUAUAAAUAAAGUUUUUUUUUUUUUCUCGUUUAGCUAUGAGCCACAAU
This is a long non-coding RNA of Leopardus geoffroyi (Geoffroy's cat), 421 nucleotides long. RefSeq lists it as uncharacterized. The record is from RefSeq and is a predicted model, not a curated record. NCBI's taxonomy places the organism in Eukaryota, Metazoa, Chordata, Mammalia, Carnivora, Felidae. The transcript has 3 exons.